Molecule: ribosomal RNA, 496 nt
Filed under: uncultured bacterium
Lineage: Bacteria
Description: partial 16S ribosomal RNA
Rfam family: Bacterial small subunit ribosomal RNA
Source: RNAcentral
GAUGAACGCUGGCGGCGUGCCUAAUACAUGCAAGUCGAGCGAACGGACGAGAAGCUUGCUUCUCUGAUGUUAGCGGCGGACGGGUGAGUAACACGUGGAUAACCUACCUAUAAGACCGGGAUAACUUCGGGAAACCGGAGCUAAUACCGGAUAAUAUUUUGAACCGCAUGGUUCAAAAGUGAAAGACGGUCUUGCUGUCACUUAUAGAUGGAUCCGCGCUGCAUUAGCUAGUUGGUAAGGUAACGGUUUACCAAGGCAACGAUGCAUAGCCGACCUGAGAGGGUGAUCGGCCACACUGGAACUGAGACACGGUCCAGACUCCUACGGGAGGCAGCAGUAGGGAAUCUUCCGCAAUGGGCGAAAGCCUGACGGAGCAACGCCGCGUGAGUGAUGAAGGUCUUCGGAUCGUAAAACUCUGUUAUUAGGGAAGAACAUAUGUGUAAGUAACUGUGCACAUCUUGACGGUACCUAAUCAGAAAGCCACGGCUAACUACGU